GUGCUUAUUUUGGCAGCAUAUAUAUUAAAAUUAUAAUGAUACAGAGACUGUUAACAUGGCUCCUGCACAAGGAUGACAAACAAUAAUAAUAAUUAAUAAUAAUAAUA
This is a small nuclear RNA of Grammomys surdaster, 107 nucleotides long. Lineage: Eukaryota; Metazoa; Chordata; Mammalia; Rodentia; Muridae. The record is from RefSeq and is a predicted model, not a curated record.